GACGAACGCUGGCGGCGUGCUUAACACAUGCAAGUCGAACGGAAAGGCCCUGCUUGCAGGGUACUCGAGUGGCGAACGGGUGAGUAACACGUGGGUGAUCUGCCCUGCACUUCGGGAUAAGCCUGGGAAACUGGGUCUAAUACCGGAUAGGAGCCAUUUUUAGUGUGAUGGUUGGAAAGUUUUUUCGGUGUAGGAUGAGCUCGCGGCCUAUCAGCUUGUUGGUGGGGUAAUGGCCUACCAAGGCGGCGACGGGUAGCCGGCCUGAGAGGGUGGACGGCCACAUUGGGACUGAGAUACGGCCCAGACUCCUACGGGAGGCAGCAGUGGGGAAUAUUGCACAAUGGGCGCAAGCCUGAUGCAGCGACGCCGCGGGGGGGAUGACGGCCUUCGGGUUGUAAACUCCGUUCGCUAGGGACGAAGCUUUUUGUGACGGUACCUAGAGAAGAAGCACCGGCUAACUACGUG
RNAcentral lists this ribosomal RNA (465 nucleotides) under uncultured bacterium. RNAcentral describes it as "partial 16S ribosomal RNA". It matches the Rfam family "Bacterial small subunit ribosomal RNA", at positions 28 to 507 of the family's 1533-position model. The record is from RNAcentral.